RNAcentral lists this ribosomal RNA (389 nucleotides) under Rhizobium sp. H1-11-l. RNAcentral describes it as "bacterial SSU rRNA". It matches the Rfam family "Bacterial small subunit ribosomal RNA", at positions 237 to 643 of the family's 1533-position model. Lineage: Bacteria; Pseudomonadati; Pseudomonadota; Alphaproteobacteria; Hyphomicrobiales; Rhizobiaceae. RNAcentral also lists the same sequence under 2 other names. The record is from RNAcentral.
UGGAUUAGCUAGUUGGUGGGGUAAAGGCCUACCAAGGCGACGAUCCAUAGCUGGUCUGAGAGGAUGAUCAGCCACAUUGGGACUGAGACACGGCCCAAACUCCUACGGGAGGCAGCAGUGGGGAAUAUUGGACAAUGGGCGCAAGCCUGAUCCAGCCAUGCCGCGUGUGUGAUGAAGGCCUUAGGGUUGUAAAGCACUUUCACCGGAGAAGAUAAUGACGGUAUCCGGAGAAGAAGCCCCGGCUAACUUCGUGCCAGCAGCCGCGGUAAUACGAAGGGGGCUAGCGUUGUUCGGAAUUACUGGGCGUAAAGCGCACGUAGGCGGAUAUUUAAGUCAGGGGUGAAAUCCCAGAGCUCAACUCUGGAACUGCCUUUGAUACUGGGUAUCUU